Long non-coding RNA from Triticum dicoccoides, 678 nucleotides. RefSeq lists it as uncharacterized. The transcript has 4 exons. NCBI's taxonomy places the organism in Eukaryota, Viridiplantae, Streptophyta, Magnoliopsida, Poales, Poaceae. The record is from RefSeq and is a predicted model, not a curated record.
GGGCCAGUGCUUCCAUCCAUCUUCCCCUCCCCCGACGAUAGACUAGGAUUUCGCCACUGGUUUCCCCCUCUUCGAAGUCCCUCUCCUCGCAAUCGAAGUGCGUCAAGAUUCUGCUUCGAAGUAACAGUAGUACAGUACAAAUGUACCGCUAUUGGAGAACCACCCAUCGGCCGGCCGAAGAAUAAGCGGUUGCCUCGCAUUCAUUUUCCCUCUUCUAUGCCCCUCGUAAAAAACCGAAGGGCUAACAAGAGGUCAUCAAUGGUGGGCAUGGCGAAUGAUGUGAAGAUCCAGCAUCUCAAUGCCCAAUGUUUUGUCAUUGUUUUGGAAGAAAAAUAGCAAGACACACACUCGGUUAUCGAAGGGCGUUGACGGUUGACGUGUUGUUUGACGUGUUGUUCCUCGACGGUGCCAGCCUCGCUGCUCCACACUGGACGUUGUGGCUUGCGAUGUCUGACAAAGGCAGAUUUGUGGGACAAAAGGAAGUCAUCGAGUCUAGGUCGCACACAGUGCGUAGAGCAUAGCAGGGAGGGACUAUGACAUGACUGUAGUGGCGGUGCGACAUAGUAUUGCCGCUAGCAUAUAAAUUUGUUCUACAAACUGGCUAGUGGAUGGAAGCAAAUUUGUAGCCUGUAUGACACAUGUUACGAGCAUAAGGAAGCAUUGUAAUGUUUGACAUUU